GAGCCUAUAGCUCAGUCUGUUCAGAGCGCUGCUCUUAUAAGGCAGAGGUCCUCGGUUAAAAUCCGAGUAGGCUCA
This 75-nucleotide transfer RNA is filed under the name archaeon. RNAcentral's name for it is "tRNA-Ile". It matches the Rfam family "tRNA". Rfam says of the family: Transfer RNA (tRNA) molecules are approximately 80 nucleotides in length. Their secondary structure includes four short double-helical elements and three loops (D, anti-codon, and T loops). The record is from RNAcentral.